RNAcentral lists this ribosomal RNA (633 nucleotides) under uncultured sponge symbiont. RNAcentral describes it as "bacterial SSU rRNA". It matches the Rfam family "Bacterial small subunit ribosomal RNA", at positions 143 to 795 of the family's 1533-position model. The record is from RNAcentral.
AUAAGCCGGAGAAAUCCGGUCUAAUACCCCGUACGCUCCCUUUACUGCGGUAUAGGGAGGAAAGGUUCCGGCGCUCUGGAAGUAGCUGCGGCCUAUCAGGUAGUUGGUGGGGUAACAGCCUACCAAGCCGAAGACGGGUAACCGGUGUGAGAGCACGAUCGGUCAGAGGGGGAUUGAGACACGGCCCCCACUCCUACGGGAGGCAGCAGCAGGGAAUCUUGCGCAAUGGGCGAAAGCCUGACGCAGCAACGCCGCGUGGGUGAUGAAGGCCUUCGGGUUGUAAAUCCCUUUUGCCGGGGAAGAACUUUGACGGUACCCGGCGAAUAAGCCACGGCUAACUACGUGCCAGCAGCCGCGGUAAGACGUAGGUGGCGAGCGUUAUCCGGAUUUACUGGGCGUAAAGCGUACGUAGGCGGCGCCAUAAGUCUGUCGUGAAAUCUCCCGGCUCAACCGGGAGCGGCCGAUGGAAACUGUGACGCUGGAGGGGCGUAGAGGCAAGCGGAAUUCCCGGAGUAGUGGUGGAAUGCGUAGAUACCGGGAGGAACACCAGUGGCGCAAGCGGCUUGCCAGACGCAUCCUGACGUUGAGGCGCGAGAGCAUGGGGAGCGAACGGGAUUAGAUACCCUGGUAGUC